RNAcentral lists this ribosomal RNA (1013 nucleotides) under Marchandiomyces corallinus. Its description in RNAcentral is "partial 12S small subunit ribosomal RNA". It matches the Rfam family "Bacterial small subunit ribosomal RNA", at positions 406 to 1156 of the family's 1533-position model. Lineage: Eukaryota; Fungi; Basidiomycota; Agaricomycetes; Corticiales; Corticiaceae. The record is from RNAcentral.
CUACUGAUCACAACAUGUCAAAUUGGCAUCGUGCGUGAUAAAAUAAGGGAUAAUAAUGAUGGAACCUUAUUACUAGUGCUGUCCAAAGCUGGUGCCAGAAGACUCGGUAAGGCCAGGGGCGCAAACGUUAGUCGUCUUAAUAAGGCGUAAAGGGUUCGUAGGCAGCUCAGAACAUAUAAUCUUAUAAUUAGUCUUAAUUAUAUAGAAAAUAAUACAAAGUUUUGGUUCAUAUUGUAAAGUUUAUUUUUUUAAUCUAAAAUACAUAUAUUGAUUAAUAAUAGUCCAGAUGUUAUUAAUUGCGGUUGAAUAAAGUUUUACAAUGUGUCUUCUUAAGGGAGGUUAUUUUUCUAUAUAAGGUAGAUAAGAAUAUAAUAAGUAAAGAGCUAGAAUCUUAUUGGGGUUAUAUUAAAUAAUACUUAGGGUAGGGAUAAAAUCCUUAGAUCCUAAGGGGAAUACUAAAGGCGAAGGCUAUUUUUCCACUAAAGAUUGACGCUGAGGAACGAAGGUUAGGAUAGGAAAAAGGAUUAGAUACCCAAGUACCCCUUACUGUCAACGAUGAAUGGUGUUUUCUAGGAUUCCGAGAGAACUAGUUUUUAUGCUAACGCGAUAACCAUUCCGCCUUGUGAGUACGGCAGCAAUGCUGAAAACAAAAAAAUUAGUCGGUCUCGAAGCAAACGAAGUGAAGCAUGUUAUUUAAUACGAUAAUCCGCGUAAAACCUUACCAGUUCUUGCAUACAAACUUCUAUUUUCAGACCCGGGCCUCCAACUAACAUCUGCACUGACCCUAUGCAUAGCUUGGGGUAAGGGCGGUAGAGUUAGGCAGAGGUUUGUUUUUGUUAAUAGGAGGAGUGUUAAUAAAUAUAAAUUUAAAAAAAUUAAAAAACACUUUGCUACAGGUGUUGCAUGGCUGUCGUCAGUCCGUAUCGCGAGAAGUUAGGUUAACUCCACUAACGGACGAAAUCCCUNUUAUUAAUUUAUACUUAAUAACUAAUGGUUAUGAUAGAUUCCAUUGG